This 415-nucleotide ribosomal RNA is filed under the name uncultured prokaryote. Its description in RNAcentral is "bacterial SSU rRNA". It matches the Rfam family "Bacterial small subunit ribosomal RNA", at positions 355 to 774 of the family's 1533-position model. The record is from RNAcentral.
UGAGGAAUUUUGCGCAAUGGGAGCAAUCCUGACGCAGCAACGCCGCGUGGGUGAUGAAGGCCUUCGGGUCGUAAAGCCCUGUCGGGCGGGAAGAACGUCCCUUCGGGGAAUGACGGUACCGCCAGAGGAAGCACCGGCUAACUCCGUGCCAGCAGCCGCGGUAAUACGGAGGGUGCAAGCGUUAUUCGGAAUUACUGGGCGUAAAGGGCGUGCAGGCGGGAGAGCAAGUCUGAUGUGAAAGCCCGGGGCGUAACCCCGGAAGGGCAUUGGAAACUGCUUUUCUUGAGUUCUGGAGAGGAAGGGAGAAUUCCCGGUGUAGAGGUGAAAUUCGUAGAGAUCGGGAGGAACAUCAGUGGCGAAGGCGCCCUUCUGGACAGCAACGGACGCUGAGACGCGAAAGCGUGGGGAGCAAACA